UAUGAAGAACGUAGCGAAAUGCGAUACGUAAUGUGAAUUGCAGAAUUCAGUGAAUCAUCGAAUCUUUGAACGCAUAUUGCGCUCUUUGGUAUUCCGAAGAGCAUGCUUGUUUGAGUAUCAGUAAACACCUCAAAGCUUUUGGAUUUUUUAAUCGAAAAGCUUUGGACUUGAGCAAUCCCAACACCAAUCUUUUUGAGAUCGGUGGCGGGUUGCUUGAAAUGCAGGUGCAGCUGGACAUUCUCCUGAGCUAAAAGCAUAUUCAUUUAGUCCCGUCAAACGGAUUAUUACUUUUGCUGCAGCUAACAUAAAGGGAGUUUGACCGUAUUGGCUGACUGAUGCAGGAUUUCACAAGGGUCGGCAACGAUUCUUGUUAAACUCGAUCUCAAAUCAAGUAAGACUACCCGCUGAACUUAAGCAUAUCAAUAAGCGGAGGA
Molecule: unclassified non-coding RNA, 434 nt
Filed under: soil metagenome
Description: partial contains 5.8S ribosomal RNA, internal transcribed spacer 2, and large subunit ribosomal RNA
Rfam family: 5.8S ribosomal RNA (bases 2-120)
Source: RNAcentral